UCUCGGCCCAGGACUCGUCGCCCCGUCGUGUGUUCCUCUUCCGACGCUUCUCUCGUCUUAAGCCCGCGUGCCCUCACCCACGACCUCGCUCCUCAGCGGGAGGGUCGCGAUGGAGGUCCCGCCCCGGCUCUCCCAUGUGCCGCCGCCAUUGUUCCCCUCCGCUCCCGCUACUUUAGCCUCCCGCAGCCUUUCCCAUUGGCGGCCGCGGGCGCCGCGGCAGCUCGCCCCGCUCCUCCCUUCGCUCGCUGCCAGCUCCGCCCGGCAGGGGGCGCGCCGGGCCCAGCGCCACGUCACCGCGCAGCAGCCCUCGCGAUUGGCGGGCGGGGCGGCUAUAAAGGGAGGGCGCAGGCGGCGCCCGGAUCUCUUCCGCCGCCAUUUUAAAUCCAGCUCCAUACAACGCUCCGCCGCCGCUGCCGCCGCGACCCGGACUGCGCGCCAGCACCCCCCGGCCGACAGCUCCGCCGCCAUGGAGGACAUGAACGAGUACAGCAACAUAGAGGAGUUCGCAGAGGGAUCCAAGAUCAACGCGAGCAAGAACCAGCAGGAUGACGGUAAAAUGUUUAUUGGAGGCUUGAGCUGGGAUACAAGCAAGAAAGAUCUGACUGAGUAUUUGUCCCGAUUUGGGGAAGUGGUGGACUGUACGAUUAAGACAGACCCGGUGACCGGAAGAUCGAGAGGAUUCGGAUUUGUGCUUUUCAAAGACGCUGCUAGUGUCGACAAGGUUUUGGAACUGAAAGAACACAAACUGGAUGGCAAAUUGAUAGACCCCAAAAGGGCCAAAGCUUUAAAAGGGAAAGAACCGCCCAAAAAGGUUUUUGUGGGCGGAUUGAGCCCAGAUACUUCUGAAGAACAAAUUAAAGAAUAUUUUGGAGCCUUUGGAGAGAUUGAAAAUAUUGAACUUCCCAUGGAUACAAAAACAAACGAAAGAAGAGGAUUUUGUUUUAUCACGUAUACAGAUGAAGAGCCAGUAAAGAAAUUAUUAGAAAGCAGAUAUCAUCAAAUCGGUUCUGGGAAGUGUGAAAUCAAAGUUGCACAACCCAAAGAGGUAUACAGGCAGCAACAGCAGCAACAAAAAGGAGGAAGAGGUGCUGCAGCUGGUGGACGAGGUGGCACUAGGGGUCGUGGACGAGGUCAGGGCCAAAACUGGAACCAAGGAUUUAAUAACUAUUAUGAUCAAGGAUAUGGAAAUUACAAUAGUGCCUAUGGUGGUGAUCAAAACUAUAGUGGCUAUGGCGGCUAUGAUUAUACUGGGUAUAACUAUGGGAACUAUGGAUAUGGACAGGGAUAUGCAGACUACAGUGGCCAACAGAGCACUUACGGCAAGGCAUCUCGAGGGGGUGGCAAUCACCAAAACAAUUACCAGCCAUACUAAAGGAGGACGUUGGAGAAAACAGCGGGAACUUCAUUGCAGGCCGUGUGUCACCCUGACCACGUCUAUCUCUGGGGGUCGCACGUUGCGGGCAGAGCGCAAGGCAUACACCAGAAAACGCUGUCCUGUGGAGGAAAUUGCUAAAGUUAACCCAUCUUGCAGGACGACAUUGAAGAUUGGUCUUCUGUUGAUCUAAGAUGAUUAUUUUGUAAAAGACUUUCUAGUGUACAAGACACAACUGUGUCCAGCUGUAUAUAGCCGCCAAUUAGUUUUCUUUGUUUUUACUUUGUCUUUUGCUAUCUGUGUUAUGACUCGAUGUGGAUUUGUGUUUAUACAAAUUUUAUUUGUAUGAUUUCAUGUUAAACCUCAAAUAAAUGCUUCCUUAUGUGAUUGUUUUUCUGCGUCAGGUACUAAAUAGCUCUGUAAAAGUGUGAUUUAAAAUAAGCAAUAAUUAAGGCACAGUUUAUUUUGUAGGGAGUAUUGGUCCAUAGGGAGAAACUGGUCCUUUAUGAAUAGCCAGCUACAGUGUCCCCCUGUUAUCCAUUUUUGUUAGAUGUAUACUAUCCUCUAAGGCUUCAUUUUCCUGCUAAAAGAGAUUUCUACCACACCUUUAAUGUUUUUGUGUAUCUGGAGGCCUUGUCAUAGGGUCGCCAGUAGUGGAGGUUUUCUAGCAGACCCAUGAAUCUUUCUGGACUGUGUCUUGGUGAAGUGCACCUUUUUGGCACAAAGCAUGUUGGUAGCUCCUUUCAUGAAUAGAAGAGAUUGUGCUUUGUUCCCGUCUCUGGGAAGCCAUUAGAGAUAAGCUAAAUCAGGAUCCGUGUGGUCUGUUAGAGCUUCGGCUAAUCAUAAUACCCUGACUUUGUUUUCUCGAUUAAAAUGUCCAGAUGUACCCAGGCAAAAGGCCCUGUUAAACUGUAUGUAGAAGCUACAGUUUAAGAGUAUCAAAAACUAAUUUUAACAAGCAUUUUGGCAGAUAGGUGGUUAAAAUUUGAGCAAAUGUUAGAUUGAGGUAUUUGAAGUAGUAGUGGCUGAGGAAAUACAGUUGUAUUCUGGUAUUGUCAAAGCAAGCACCAAACUGAACAAAAUGUUUUCUAUUGGGAUAUUUUUAGGAAGCUAUAUUGGGUGUUAACUGUUAAUGUGGUGUGAGUUCUUAGAAAAAGUCAUGGUAGUAGAUAUCAUCAUUUUUAAUGCAUUAGUGCAUGAGCCGAGUAGUUAAACAUACCCAAAUUCAGAUAUAGGAAGGAGUAAUAGGGGAAAGUACACUUUAAGUUUUAUGUAUGUCAGUGCAAAUCUAAGUGAGUCAUUAAAACAUCUUCCUGGUGCAUCAAAAAGCAGUUUUAGCCCUAGAUUUGGGAUAAUUCCCUGGGUAAACCCAAGUUUUGAAUUUUAACAUUCAGUGUAGUUGGAUUUAAGGUUUUUAAGUUAUAUUUUCUGUGGUUCCACAUUAAGCUCUAGGAUUGGCAUACAUAUUCAAAUGCGUAGUAGUUGACCUCACCUUCAACCAAAUGUUAAUUUUUUAUGCUGAUGAACCUGCCUUUUGUUUCAUUUGGUGCCUGCAACUUUUCUCUGUUCAAUGAUGUUUGUACUUGCUGGCUAUCAAGUUACAAUGCACUUGGCCUCCUUUUGCAUCCUGUUUUGCUAUUUGAUCUUAAACCUAGGCCAAGUACCAAUGUUGGUUAUUGCAAGGGACUGUUCAUUAUAUCGACAUGCAACGUUAGGGAAGGAGGAAGAUUUUGAUUUUAAGUUAUGUUGUCAAAGUCUGUAGGUGCAGUGUCUCUAGAGCAGUGAAUCCUGUUCAAAUUUAUGAUUAGGUGAGAAGUUGACAUUGAGAUUGUCCUUUCCCUGAUCAAAAAUGAAUAAAGGCUUUUUAAACAAAA
This is an RNA transcript of Lontra canadensis (Northern American river otter), 3246 nucleotides long. It is a transcript of the gene named heterogeneous nuclear ribonucleoprotein D like, with no coding region annotated. The transcript has 9 exons. NCBI's taxonomy places the organism in Eukaryota, Metazoa, Chordata, Mammalia, Carnivora, Mustelidae. The record is from RefSeq and is a predicted model, not a curated record.